Molecule: ribosomal RNA, 461 nt
Filed under: uncultured bacterium
Lineage: Bacteria
Description: bacterial SSU rRNA
Rfam family: Bacterial small subunit ribosomal RNA
Source: RNAcentral
GGACCCGCACAAGCGGUGGAUGAUGUGGAUUAAUUCGAUGCAACGCGAAAAACCUUACCUACCCUUGACAUGCCCGGAAUCUCGCAGAGAUGUGAGAGUGCCCGAAAGGGAACCGGGACACAGGUGCUGCAUGGCUGUCGUCAGCUCGUGUCGUGAGAUGUUGGGUUAAGUCCCGCAACGAGCGCAACCCUUGUCACUAGUUGCUACGAAAGGGCACUCUAGUGAGACUGCCGGUGACAAACCGGAGGAAGGUGGGGAUGACGUCAAGUCCUCAUGGCCCUUAUGGGUAGGGCUUCACACGUCAUACAAUGGCCGGUACAAAGGGCUGCCAACCCGCGAGGGGGAGCCAAUCCCAGAAAACCGGUCGUAGUCCGGAUUGCAGUCUGCAACUCGACUGCAUGAAGUCGGAAUCGCUAGUAAUCGCGGAUCAGCAUGUCGCGGUGAAUACGUUCCCGGGUCUU